AUCUUUCAUCAAUUCCAGGGAUAUAGGACACCGAAAAUCAUCUGGUAUAACUGGGGCCUUAUGAGUUGUCUCGAUAGAAACUUGUCCGCUACAAGUUGAAGACUUCUCCCUCGAAGAAGAAUCAAUCUCCGGAGUCUCAGUAAGCACAAAGCCCUUAAUUUUCCUCAGUACAAGUGACAUCUUCUCGAUUCUCUCCUCUGGAUCUUCACCAGUAGCAGUGACCAUAUCAUGCAAAGCACAUGAUUCUUGUGUGAGAUCGUAUAAUCCAGUCAGCUGUAACUUCUUAACCAAUUUCCUUAGGACAGCUGGAUCUAUAGCAGGAUCAUUACUCUGGCUGUAAAGGGACAAUAGAUCCUCAUGGAGUUCAGCAUCAGGUGUAUCAACCCUUCCUUUGGCUCUUUGGAACUGAGAAAGGACAAGCUCUACCUGCUCUUUAACUUCAUCAGAUAUGUCAAGCUCUUGAUAAUGAACUCCACCCAAAGCUUGUUCCAGCUGGGUUGUCACUUGGUGAAAUUUAUUCAUUAUCUGCUCCCUUUCUAAGACGAGAUAAAUCUUGCUUCCCUGGCUGCCGAAUUUGAGCAAUUCCUUGGUUGAUUCAAGAGCUUCUUUCAAUGAAACCAAAGCUAUCAUUGAGUUUUCAGGAACUGGUUCUUUGAUAUCCCGAAUCUCUUCGAACAUUGGAAUCAAUAAUUUAAGCCUCCUACCUAGAUUGCAAUACUCUUUCUUCACCGAAGUUCUGUAAUCUGAAAUGGCUGCUAUUUCGUUAACUACCUCAAUCAGCUUCUCCACUAACACUCCUCUUCCUUCUUCCAUUUCCUUUCAAAGAUCCAAAAAUUUUAACACAACAACUUAUAAAUAGGAGGUGACCUGAAUAGCUCAGUUGUUAGUCGUCGACUCCAUGAGAGAAAGGGAGAUAGAAAAUGGAGUAAGAAUUAAGAGAGUAUUGUUGUGGCGGCGGGACUUCAGGAUGAGUUCUUUUGAUAAUAAAGUUUACCGGCGGAGUAUUGUCGGUUAAUUGUUACCGGCGGUGGAUGGAAGUGUGGAGUAAGUGGAUUUGUGAAGAAGAAAACAGGUUUAUUGGUGGGUUUUUGAGUAACCGUUUACCCUGUCUCUAUG
Molecule: unclassified non-coding RNA, 1116 nt
Filed under: Hevea brasiliensis (rubber tree)
Lineage: Eukaryota; Viridiplantae; Streptophyta; Magnoliopsida; Malpighiales; Euphorbiaceae
Source: RNAcentral